Molecule: small RNA, 145 nt
Filed under: Arabidopsis thaliana (thale cress)
Lineage: Eukaryota; Viridiplantae; Streptophyta; Magnoliopsida; Brassicales; Brassicaceae
Description: ATSL040470
Source: RNAcentral
AACCAAAAUGCUUACAAGGCUAUCUCAUCAUUAUCCCAUAUGCAUAUGCAACAAUCCUAAAUGAAACACUCUAGACUGGAUCCUAAAUGUAAUGCAACUACAUGAAUACUCUGUUUUUGUGAAAUCAUUUUCUGAAAUUUUUCAC